Molecule: small nuclear RNA, 101 nt
Filed under: Octodon degus (degu)
Lineage: Eukaryota; Metazoa; Chordata; Mammalia; Rodentia; Octodontidae
Source: RNAcentral
CUGCUCACUUUGGCAGCACAUAUACUAAAAUUAGAAUGAUACAGAGAAGAUGGCCCCUGCGCAAGCAUGACACACAAAUUCAUGAAGCAUUCCAUAUUUUU